GCAAAUAUAACUCAAUUUGGUAGAGUGUAAUCUUGCCAAGAUUAAAGUUAAGAGUUCGACUCUCUUUUUUUGCU
This 74-nucleotide transfer RNA is filed under the name Asterionella formosa. Its description in RNAcentral is "tRNA-Gly". It matches the Rfam family "tRNA". From Rfam's summary of the family: Transfer RNA (tRNA) molecules are approximately 80 nucleotides in length. Their secondary structure includes four short double-helical elements and three loops (D, anti-codon, and T loops). Lineage: Eukaryota; Bacillariophyta; Fragilariophyceae; Tabellariales; Tabellariaceae. The record is from RNAcentral.